GGGGAUAGAACUCAAUGGCAUAAGUGUCUGCCUGGUAAGCACAAGGUCCUGAGUUGGGUUCCCAGUACCCCCA
Molecule: transfer RNA, 73 nt
Filed under: Cavia porcellus (domestic guinea pig)
Lineage: Eukaryota; Metazoa; Chordata; Mammalia; Rodentia; Caviidae
Rfam family: tRNA
About the family: Transfer RNA (tRNA) molecules are approximately 80 nucleotides in length. Their secondary structure includes four short double-helical elements and three loops (D, anti-codon, and T loops). Further hydrogen bonds mediate the characteristic L-shaped molecular structure. tRNAs have two regions of fundamental functional importance: the anti-codon, which is responsible for specific mRNA codon recognition, and the 3' end, to which the tRNAs corresponding amino acid is attached (by aminoacyl-tRNA synthetases). tRNAs cope with the degeneracy of the genetic code in two manners: having more than one tRNA (with a specific anti-codon) for a particular amino acid; and 'wobble' base-pairing, i.e. permitting non-standard base-pairing at the 3rd anti-codon position.
Source: Rfam by way of RNAcentral